This 497-nucleotide ribosomal RNA is filed under the name uncultured bacterium. RNAcentral describes it as "partial 16S ribosomal RNA". It matches the Rfam family "Bacterial small subunit ribosomal RNA", at positions 28 to 507 of the family's 1533-position model. The record is from RNAcentral.
GAUGAACGCUGGCGGCGUGCCUAAUACAUGCAAGUCGAGCGAACGGACGAGAAGCUUGCUUCUCUGAUGUUAGCGGCGGACGGGUGAGUAACACGUGGAUAACCUACCUAUAAGACUGGGAUAACUUCGGGAAACCGGAGCUAAUACCGGAUAAUAUUUUGAACCGCAUGGUUCAAAAGUGAAAGACGGUCUUGCUGUCACUUAUAGAUGGAUCCGCGCUGCAUUAGCUAGUUGGUAAGGUAACGGCUUACCAAGGCAACGAUGCAUAGCCGACCUGAGAGGGUGAUGGGCCACACUGGAACUGAGACACGGUCCAGACUCCGACGGGAGGCAGCGGUAGGGAAUCUUCCGCAAUGGGCGAAAGCCUGACGGAGCAACGCCGCGUGAGUGAUGAAGGUCUUCGGAUCGUAAAACUCUGUUAUUAGGGAAGAACAUAUGUGUAAGUAACUGUGCACAUCUUGACGGUACCUAAUCAGAAAGCCACGGCUAACUACGUG